UUUUCACUCUCUCACCUCCUACGUCGGCGCCUCUUCCAAACCAUAGAAACCAGCACCGAUUCUCGCCGGAAAAACUGCAGCCUACCACCAAAUCACCGCCAGAGCAGACUCUACUACACCUUACAAAGUCCAUACCAACCCCUUCCCACAGUUAAUCCAACGAUUUAGACCUAAAUGACUACCAAAACAAUCUCAAACCCUAGUUUUCUAAAAAUCAAUUGACGACGAAGGAUACCCCCGCCGACGGCUAACCGACUCCUCCAUAGGCGAUUAAACUUAAACGACGAACGGUGCUGUCAAAGCCGAUCCAAAACAGCAAAAAACCACCGAUAUAAAAAUCAAUUAUAUCAAAAUUGGUUUCGAUUGAAGAAUCGGCCAGAAUGGACGAAUGGUGGAACACUUUCUACGAUUCAACAAAAAGAUCGACAACAUUGGACAAAAACACAACAAAAAUUCGAAAAGCUGCAACCUAAGAUGCCAGAUAAGAUAAGUACCUUCAUAAUAAGUUCAUUUCACAAAAUUUUUUUGUUGCAUCCUUAUUUCAGUAUCAGAGUAAUAACCACACGACGAACUCCAAUCGAUCAACACCUCCAUGAUUUGAUGCAACUUAAACCAAAAUCAUAUACACAAACUGAUAGAACGAAUGAAUAAGAACUUCAUUGAUGAUGAGGAUUACACAAAUGGAACUUAAAUGUAAAUGGAAACAAAAGAUACAAUGAUAAGAGGAACACGAUAUAUUCAACGGAGAAUCACCGGAUCACCGGAUUCUCACGAUGACCACAGCUCGCAAGCUCACACAAAUUUCAUGGAUACUCUCAAAGAUGAGAGUCUCUGCAUUUAUACCCAAUCCAUUUUCCUUCUUCUCUUCUUUGCAUUUAGAUCCCUCAACUUUCCUUCUAUCUCAUUUCUGUUGAGCUGGCGUGGCCCUCCAGCUGGCAUAUCAAUUGAGUCAAUUGAGCUGAGUUUCUUUUCCAUUCUAAUAAUUCGUGACUCUAACAAUUUCAGCUUCUACAAGUUUAGUUGUUUCUUAAAAAGGGCACGAAAUACACACUUAUGUUUAUAUCAUUAUGAGAUUUCAGAUUGAUGCAACAAACUUGGAUAUAAGAGGAUUUAUUAAAAUUUAUGAAACUGUGAAAAUUUAGAAGUCUAUUACAAAUUAUAGAGUGUUAUGACUUUUCACUUCAUAUAUCAAAUGCUUUUCCUAUAGAAAUUUCACUGCUGAACAAUGGGAGAAUUCACCACUUUGAAAGAGGAAAAAGAUCAUUUACAAAUUGCUCAAAAGAAGAAGCACAAAAUCAGUUUUUCUGAAUUUAUGAACUAUAUUGAUAUAAACAUUCUAUAAAUACUAUCAUUGGAUCUUAUACUUUACUGCAACUGACUCUCCAAAAAAAAAAACACUUACAACUGUCUAAUUACAGGAGUAAACUUGAAAGACAAAGCUAUAUGCAAGAAGAAGAAGGAAAAAAAGAAUCUACAGUGGAUUCAUCAAUGCAAACAGAGCAAGCAAUCUGUGGAAUAGGAAGAGUGCAAAGAUGUAGAAGAAUGAAACAUAAGUAAUAAACAAAUAUAGGAACACCUCCAAAGACACGAACGCAACGAACCUUAACAAUUGAGUUAGUAAUGGCAGUGUAAAGAUUCUGAAGCAAGGUGGACAACAUAAAUAUUCCACGAAACGAAUAUAAGAAGAUGACCAAUAUGCAGGGAAGAGAACUACAAUUUCUGAAAGAUAGGUGCACAAAUCAAAUUGGAAGAAAUCAAGAUCAAUAGAACAAAGUUGAGAACAAAGAAAAGAGAGAACAUAUAGAAGAUAUAACACAUCAAAGGUAUACCAAGAGUAGAGGUGGGAAUAUGGAUAUCGGGAUCGAUAUCCACCGGGUAUUGGAUACCCAAUAUCCAAUUUUAUGGGAUUGGGUAUGGGAUUGGAUAUUGAAAUUUAAGAUAAAUCGGGUAUCGGGUAACCCGAAUGAGUAUCGGAUAUUACCCGAAUAUCCAAUUUAUUAUUUAAAGUAUUUUUAAAUUAGGUUUAGCCAUUUUAGACUUCUAAGAGCUGGGCUAAUUUAUUUACUACUAGACUAACUUUCUCUUAACUUAUAUAAAAUAAGUCGAUCUCUCUUAUUCUAGGUCACGACUUCUCCAAACUCUCAAGUUUUACGUAUUGCAUAACCAACUCAAGUGGUUUUUAUAUUUUAGUUAAUUAUUUUGACUUUUAAAAUUAUAUUAUUGGUUGUUUCAACAGUUUAAUUAAAUGCAUAACUUUUAUUAUUUUACUUACAUAUUGAAUAACCAACCCCCAUAAUUAUAAUCAUAUACUUUAAAAUAAAAAUAACCCAUUUUUUUUAGUUUUAUACUAUAAAAUAAAUGCACCAUUAAAGAUAUCAGUAAAUUUAAAUAUUUCUUUAUUUAUAUUAAUAUAAUAAAGUUUGAUUUUUUUUAUUACUAGUUAUUACACAUGUAAAGAGUCGGGUAUUUGGGUACCUGAUACGUCGGGUAUGGAUACCCAGGGCGGGUAUUGGAGUACCCGAAAAUACAUCGGGUCGAAUUUUGGAUAGACAUUUAGAUGAUUUUCGGGUUUGGGUACCCGGUUUUUUUGGGUCGGGUAUCCACGGAUACCCGUAUUCCCACCCCUAACCAAGAGAUAAAAAAAACCCCAAUCAAGGAUGAGCCGCUUCUCAUUUUCAAGGAUGAAGAGAGAGAAAAUCCUGCUGCAACCAAUAGAAACCAAGCAGGCAUAAGAUGCAUGCCUAUAUACCUCUCCUAAUCUGCAAAUACGUCUCAAUGUGAAGGAGAAAGAGAGAGAAUAUUGGAUGGAAUCAUUACACAGAGAAAGAACAAAGAAUAUGCACGCUUAAACCUUUAAUAUUCUAAUCCAUAUUUCUUAAACCUUUUAAGAACCUAAUCCAUAUUUCUUAUGGAUAUGCAGGAUUCCUUCAUAUAUUCUAUGAAGACAGAAUUUUGACAUCUUACAAUCUACAAAAUGAAGUAAUUUUGACAUCUUACAAUCUACAAAAUGAAGAAGAAGAAGAAGAAGAAGAAGAAGAAGAAGAAGAAUAACUUAAAGACACUUAAGAAGUAUAAUUUAUACUAACAUACUCACCAACAAUUAAUUCGAUUUGCAGGUUACCAUAACAUAUAAUUACAUACAGGCUUGAAGACAUUAAGAAUAUACACCAAUUUGUGCACUAAGGAAGAGGAAGGAUCAAAACAAAAGAAAAUGAAGCAUUGGAAUUUGGAGAAG
Molecule: long non-coding RNA, 3235 nt
Organism: Salvia hispanica
Lineage: Eukaryota; Viridiplantae; Streptophyta; Magnoliopsida; Lamiales; Lamiaceae
Source: RefSeq, a predicted model, not a curated record